GAGGGUACAGCUCAGUGUAUGGCACGUGCUUAGCAUGCACAAGGUCCUGGGUUCAAUCCCCAGUACAUCCA
Molecule: transfer RNA, 71 nt
Filed under: Camelus bactrianus (Bactrian camel)
Lineage: Eukaryota; Metazoa; Chordata; Mammalia; Artiodactyla; Camelidae
Also listed under: 3 other names
Rfam family: tRNA
About the family: Transfer RNA (tRNA) molecules are approximately 80 nucleotides in length. Their secondary structure includes four short double-helical elements and three loops (D, anti-codon, and T loops).
Source: Rfam by way of RNAcentral